Molecule: ribosomal RNA, 1020 nt
Filed under: Triticum aestivum (bread wheat)
Lineage: Eukaryota; Viridiplantae; Streptophyta; Magnoliopsida; Poales; Poaceae
Description: partial small subunit ribosomal RNA
Source: RNAcentral
AUGCGCCGGAACAAAGAUCCGGCGCCCAUGGAGAAGCAGUCCGUCAGAGAAGCGCCAAGGCUCCUCCAGGUCACCGGCCGUGAGUUGCUGCUGAAGAAGGACGGCGUCGUCGGCCAUCGCAGUUGCGCGGCGAAUGUCGUCGAAGAGACCGAACAUCGGCCCGGAGCGGAUGCACAGGGCCGCCCCGGCAGACUCGUCGGCGGAGGGAGCGAGGUCGGAGUCGCGACGGGACAACGCAUCGGCCACGGUGUUAAGGCGGCCCGGCCGAUACUCGACGGAGAAGUUGAAGCCGAAGAGCUUGCUGAUCCACUGGUGCUGCGGCACGGUCGACAGCCGUUGGUCCAGCAAGAACUUCAGGCAGUAGUGGUCCGUGCGAAUGUGGAAGGACCGUCCCCACAAGUACGGCCGCCAAUGACGAACGGCCUGGACAAGGCCAAUGAGCUCCCGCUCGUAUGCCGCCAGCUUAAGAUGGCGCGGAGCAAAAGGCUGGCUGAAGAAGGCGAGGGGCCCAUCGCCCUGAUGAAGCACGGCGCCGAAACCUGCGACCGAGGCGUCACAGUCCACCACGAACGGGCGGUCGAAGUCGGGCAUCUGGAGGACGGGGCCCGUCGUGAGGGCCCCCUUGAGGGCCUCGAACGCCGUCAUCGCCUCGUCGUCCCAGGCGAAAGCGUCGCGGCAAAGCAACCGCGUGAGGGGCGCCGCGAUGAGCCCGAACUCCCGGAUAAAUUUUUGGUAGUAGCCGGCGAGGCCAAGGAACCCACGGAGAGCCCGCGGCGAGUGAGGCGUCGGCCAUGCGGAGACGACCGCCACCUUGUCGGCGUCCAUAGCCACCCCGUCGGCCGAGAUGACAUGGCCGAGGUAGGCGACGGUAGGUGUCCCGAACGAGCACUUCGAGCGCUUAAGGUGGAGGUGGUGUGCCCGAAGCUCGUUGAAGACGAUGGCGACGUGCUGGAGGUGCUCGGCCCAGGUGGCGCUGUAGAUAAGAAUGUCAUCAAAGAAAACAAGCACAAACCGCCGUAA